UCUGAUCCCUACCUGGGCCUCACCUGGAUCUGGUGACUCUGGUCCCCACCUAGGCCUCACCCAGACGUGGUGACUGUGGUCCCCACCUGGGCCUCA
RNAcentral lists this microRNA precursor (96 nucleotides) under Canis lupus familiaris (dog). RNAcentral's name for it is "miRNA (ENSCAFG00000055756.1)". Lineage: Eukaryota; Metazoa; Chordata; Mammalia; Carnivora; Canidae. The record is from RNAcentral.